AUGUGUUACGCACAGAUUAAGAGGUUUAAUGAGUUACAGAGGGACAAUGCAUUAUCAGGAGAGGAGAGGCAAGGGGCAGGUCCAGCCAUUCACCCACAUGUUCCUUCGUGCUUUCUCUGCCCAGGGAAUUGUGUGGUUGUGGAGAAAUUGCUUUCAGGAGUUCAAUGUGUUCACUGGGCUGAAAAGAAUCACCCUCCUCACCACUUUCCUCAAAAGAGCAGGACAAGUGUUUUUUUCUCACGCUCAAUCUUGAUUGCCCACUAGCCCUCCUGAGAGACCUGAAGAGCUUCACUGCCUCCUUACAGCACACUCCCUGGUUUUUAUCUCUGUGCUCACUAUCAGUGAAAAAAGACAGGAGGUAAGCCCACAUGCUCAUUUAGAAACACUUGGGCAUUUGGUCUCCAAGAUAACACCAGACCUCAUUAAGCUCGCACUCAGAGCAAAUGUUUUCCUUCAGCCCACUUGUCAGUUUUAGGGUGAUGGAAGUGCAUCUUUCACGUUUCUGGGUAAUCCCAGGGAGAUAAUGUGCUGGAGCAGAGAUGGUAGGGGAUUUGCAACCGUACGCGACCAAGCUCACUGCUCUUUGAAGAGUGAGCUGGUUUGCUGCAGUGUUUAAAAACAAGGAACACAUCCCUGCAACCAGCAACAGCCUCUGACACUGUCAGAUUCCCAAGCCAGGUGGCUUUCACAUUUCCACAGCCACACAUUUGCAAACUCUGCGUUCCUAGCUGUCCUUAAUACGACUCCAGUGAAGCUGGAAAGUACAAUAUGCACUUGGUCCACCUGGCUAAGUAUUUAACAGACUUUCUCUUCAUGAUGGCUGCUCAGAUCCAGAUGACCUUUUUCAGGCAAUGUAUUCACAAAUUUCACUCAACACUAUCUGCUGUGUUGGAAAUACAGAUUUUGUCCCAUUAUUUAAAGGCAAGCUUCUAAGAGCCAAGUAACUUUAGACAAAUACGAACACCAUUUGGCCUUUACUGAUUCAUUGAUUUGAGUAAAAAGUAUCAUUCAAAAAAACAUGUGAGCUUUUUUCUCUUGGGAUUUUCCUUUUUUUUCUCCAAAAGUCUUUUUAAAGACCUUUGAAAUGAAAUGCAGAAUAAUGUCCUUGCAGAAGUCACCAUGGGGUUGAAAUGUUAUAAAGCAGCUUAUUCAGAAUGGUGUAAGCUGCCCAGAGCACACAUAUUUCAAAUAAAUUCUGACCUACAGAACUUCCCCCCA
RNAcentral lists this long non-coding RNA (1218 nucleotides) under Phasianus colchicus (ring-necked pheasant). RNAcentral's name for it is "lncRNA (ENSPCLG00000000727.1)". Lineage: Eukaryota; Metazoa; Chordata; Aves; Galliformes; Phasianidae. The record is from RNAcentral.